RNAcentral lists this ribosomal RNA (329 nucleotides) under uncultured eukaryote. RNAcentral describes it as "partial 18S ribosomal RNA". It matches the Rfam family "Eukaryotic small subunit ribosomal RNA", at positions 1470 to 1796 of the family's 1831-position model. The record is from RNAcentral.
CCCUUAGAUGUUCUGGGCCGCACGCGCGCUACACUGAUGCAUUCAACGAGUCUAAAACCUGCUCUGAUAGGGGUGGGUAAUCUUUUGAAUGUGCAUCGUGAUUGGGAUAGAUGAUUGCAAUUUUUCAUCUUCAACGAGGAAUGCCUAGUAAACGCAAGUCAUCAGCUUGCAUUGAUUACGUCCCUGCCCUUUGUACACACCGCCCGUCGCUCCUACCGAUUGAAUGAUCCGAUGAAUAUCAUGGAUUGAGGAUGCAAGUAGGUUCGCCUAUCUUCAUCUUCGAGAAGUGAAGUAAAUUUUAUCAUUUAGAGGAAGGAGAAGUCGUAACA